UCGCAAAUUACCCACUCUCAAUUCGAGGAGGUAGUGACAACAACUAACGAGACUAUCCUCUAUGAGACUAGUCAUCGAAAUGGGUACAACGUAAACCCUUUAACGAGGAUCUAUGAGAGGGCAAGUCUGGUGCCAGCAGCCGCGGUAAUUCCAGCUCUCAAAGUGCAUAGAAUUAUUGCUGCGGUUAAAAAGCUCGUAGUUGGAUCUGUGCCAUAGGACGGGGUCCGGCUUCGGUCGUGUACUCCGCUCCUAGGCUUUUUGCUGGUUUUCCCGUCGUAGCCUUCACUGGUUGCGGCGGGUGGCUGGCGAGUUUACUUUGAGAAAAUCAGAGUGCUCAAUACAGGCGUAUCGCUUGAAUGAUUGUGCAUGGAAUAAUAGAAAAGGAUUUCGGUCCUCUUUUAUUGGUUUUGUGGACUGAGAUAAUGGUUAACAGGGACAAACGGGGGCAUUCGUAUCGCUGCGUGAGAGGUGAAAUUCUUGGACCGCAGCGAGACGCCCUACUGCGAAAGCAUUUGCCAAGAAUGUCUUCAUUAAUCAAGAACGAAAGUCAGAGGUUCGAAGGCGAUCAGAUACCGCCCUAGUUCUGACCGUAAACGAUGCCAACUAGCGAUCCGCCGGUGGAUUUUUAGCCCUGGUGGGUAGCUUCCCGGAAACGAAAGUCUUCCGGUUCCGGGGGAAGUAUGGUUGCAAAGCUGAAACUUAAAGGAAUUGACGGAAGGGCACCACCAGGAGUGGAGCCUGCGGCUUAAUUUGACUA
Molecule: ribosomal RNA, 757 nt
Filed under: Zeldia punctata
Lineage: Eukaryota; Metazoa; Nematoda; Chromadorea; Rhabditida; Cephalobidae
Description: SSU rRNA
Rfam family: Eukaryotic small subunit ribosomal RNA
Source: RNAcentral